Molecule: long non-coding RNA, 599 nt
Filed under: Setaria viridis
Lineage: Eukaryota; Viridiplantae; Streptophyta; Magnoliopsida; Poales; Poaceae
Description: long non-coding RNA (SVIR_LNC002047)
Source: RNAcentral
UCCUCUCGCACAGGUACGUUUGUUCACAUUUUAAUUAACACAAUACUCACAUAGAUAUUCUCUUGUCAUUAGUAGAAACUAAUCUAUUUGAUUCGCUAUCCACAAUCGUGGUUUUAUUUUCUUUUUCAUUGCAUCUCCAUGUGUGUUGACAUGUGUUUAGUUCAAACUUAAGUUUGAUCCAUAUGUUUGACAUGGAAGAUAUACUUUUAUCACUUUCAGUACCGACAUGGUCCGAGAGGGUGCCAAUUCGAAAGAUGAAGCUUAUGAUGCUUAGCUUACAUGUGGUUUGUAUGGAAAAAGGUGCCCAAAGUCAAAGCAACAGACAUGUUCUUCAAUCGACUAAACCAAGCCUACACUCACCCAAAUUCGAUCCAUUUAUUCAUCUUUGCUCAGGGUUUGACCAUUCUACCUACUGAUAACAAGUUGUCAACCAUUAUUCCCUAUAGCUUGCAAGUAGUGAAGCCCUAACUACCAUCCCACUUCAACGGGUCAAUGCAUAGCUAAGCUCAUUAAUAUUGGAAGAUCUAGAAGGCUUCAUAGUUCUACUAAUUAAAAUUUAAAAUACACAAUCACUGUUGGACCUCUAGUACCGAUCAAUA